GACGAACGCUGGCGGCGUGCUUAACACAUGCAAGUCGAACGGAAAGGCCCUACUUUUGUGGUGUGCUCGAGUGGCGAACGGGUGAGUAACACGUGAGUAACCUGCCCUUGACUUUGGGAUAACUUCAGGAAACUGGGGCUAAUACCGGAUAGGAGCUCCUGCUGCAUGGUGGGGGUUGGAAAGUUUCGGCGGUUGGGGAUGGACUCGCGGCUUAUCAGCUUGUUGGUGGGGUAGUGGCUUACCAAGGCUUUGACGGGUAGCCGGCCUGAGAGGGUGACCGGCCACAUUGGGACUGAGAUACGGCCCAGACUCCUACGGGAGGCAGCAGUGGGGAAUAUUGCACAAUGGGCGGAAGCCUGAUGCAGCAACGCCGCGUGCGUGAUGACGGCCUUCGGGUUGUAAACCGCUUUCGCCUGUGACGAAGCGUGAGUGACGGUAAUGGGUAAAGAAGCACCGGCUAACUACGUG
This 468-nucleotide ribosomal RNA is filed under the name uncultured bacterium. Its description in RNAcentral is "partial 16S ribosomal RNA". It matches the Rfam family "Bacterial small subunit ribosomal RNA", at positions 28 to 507 of the family's 1533-position model. The record is from RNAcentral.